UGCUCAGUAACACGUAGCUAACCUACCCUUAAGUCGAGGAUACUCUCGGGAAACUGAGGUUAAUACUCGAUAGGAGAUGUACCCUGGAAUGAUUCAUCUCUCAAAUUCGUGCUUAAGGAUGGGGCUGCGGCGGAUUAGGUUGUUGGCGGGGUAAAGGCCCACCAAGCCAAUGAUCCGUAAGGGCUCUUAGCGGAGAGGCCCUGAGAGGGAAUCUGAGACACUAUUCCCAGCCCUACGGGGUGCAGCAGUUAGGAAUUUUCUGCAAUGUACGAAAGUAUGACAGAUUGAGUCAGAGUGCUUUUCAUAUGAAAAGCUUUUGCCAAAUGUAAAAAGUUUGGCGAAUAAGGACUGGGUAAGACGAGUGCCAGCAGCCGCGGUAAUACAAUA
This 387-nucleotide ribosomal RNA is filed under the name uncultured archaeon. RNAcentral's name for it is "bacterial SSU rRNA". It matches the Rfam family "Archaeal small subunit ribosomal RNA", at positions 87 to 481 of the family's 1478-position model. The record is from RNAcentral.